GCUCAGGAUGAACGCUAGCUACAGGCUUAACACAUGCAAGUCGAGGGGUAGCAGGGUAGCAAUACCGCUGACGACCGGCGCACGGGUGAGUAACACGUAUCCAACCUUCCCAUCACUCGGGGAUAGCCUUUCGAAAGAAAGAUUAAUACCCGAUAGUACUUUUUUGAGGCAUCUUGAGAAAGUUAAAGAUUUAUUGGUGAUGGAUGGGGAUGCGUUCCAUUAGAUUGUUGGUGAGGUAACGGCUCACCAAGUCUUCGAUGGAUAGGGGUUCUGAGAGGAAGGUCCCCCACAUUGGUACUGAGACACGGACCAAACUCCUACGGGAGGCAGCAGUGAGGAAUAUUGGUCAAUGGGCGAGAGCCUGAACCAGCCAA
This 374-nucleotide ribosomal RNA is filed under the name uncultured Bacteroidales bacterium. RNAcentral describes it as "bacterial SSU rRNA". It matches the Rfam family "Bacterial small subunit ribosomal RNA", at positions 22 to 395 of the family's 1533-position model. The record is from RNAcentral. Lineage: Bacteria; Pseudomonadati; Bacteroidota; Bacteroidia; Bacteroidales.